Molecule: long non-coding RNA, 236 nt
Organism: Passer domesticus (house sparrow)
Lineage: Eukaryota; Metazoa; Chordata; Aves; Passeriformes; Passeridae
Exons: 2
Source: RefSeq, a predicted model, not a curated record
GGAAAAUACUCAGCUGGAAGCAGCCUGGCAUUUGGGAAAAUCUAAUUUAUUGUGGAGGGUCACAUUUGGAUUUUCCUUCUGGAGCAUCUCAGGGCAGGAUUUGUACUGGGAGGCCUGAAUAUGCAAAAUCCCACCUGGAAAGGUGAUGGGUGAAUGAAUGCCAAGGACAUAAGCAAAGAGUGACAGGAAACAUGAGCAAGGUUUCAUGUGUGGACCUCAUCAGUACCCCCAAGAAA